RNAcentral lists this unclassified non-coding RNA (390 nucleotides) under soil metagenome. Its description in RNAcentral is "partial contains 5.8S ribosomal RNA, internal transcribed spacer 2, and large subunit ribosomal RNA". The stretch from base 1 to 122 matches the Rfam family "5.8S ribosomal RNA", at positions 35 to 154 of the family's 154-position model. The record is from RNAcentral.
GAUGAAGAACGUAGUGAAAUGCGAUACUUGGUGUGAAUUGCAGAAUCCCGUGAACCAUCGAGUCUUUGAACGCAAGUUGCGCCCGAAGCCAUUAGGCCGAGGGCACGCCUGCCUGGGCGUCACACGUCGUUGCCCCCCCAUCUACUCCUUCGGGAUUGCGGGGGGCGGAUGAUGGCCUCCCGUGCGCCUCGUCGCGCGGUUGGCAUAAAUGCCAAGUCCUCGGCGACGCACGCCACGACAAUCGGUGGUUGCGAAACCUCGGUUGCCCGUCGUGUGCGGUCGUCGCGCAUCGAGGGCUCGAAAAAAUUGCCGGGCUCCGGCUCGGCUUUCAACGCGACCCCAGGUCAGGCGGGGUUACCCGCUGAAUUUAAGCAUAUCAAUAAGCGGAGA